AAGUCGUAACAAGGUUUCCGUAGGUGAACCUGCGGAAGGAUCAUUAACACUUUUGAAAGCAUCCAAUAUCAACUUUUUCCAACCAAACGGUCAACUAUCUCCUCCCUAUUUCGCACACCGGAGACGGUACGAGUAGGCUAACAUGUCAAUAAUUAAUUAACAAGCAAAUUGUUUGUUUGUUAGUUGGUUAUUUUCAAACACAAGAUAACCCCUUUUAAUUAUAUUAUUCAUUUAAUAUAAACGAACAACUCUUCGAUUUGCAACUUCUCUUUAAACCAGAAGAAACAAAAACGAACUAAACUAAAAUAUACAUUCGAUAUAUUUUUAUUUUACGAAAUAAUAUAUAUUUAUAAGAACAACUCUUAGCAAUGGAUAUCUUGGUUCUC
This 386-nucleotide unclassified non-coding RNA is filed under the name fungal sp. RNAcentral describes it as "partial internal transcribed spacer region". The stretch from base 1 to 46 matches the Rfam family "Eukaryotic small subunit ribosomal RNA", at positions 1786 to 1831 of the family's 1831-position model. Lineage: Eukaryota; Fungi. The record is from RNAcentral.